RNAcentral lists this transfer RNA (82 nucleotides) under Daphnia pulex (common water flea). It matches the Rfam family "tRNA". Rfam says of the family: Transfer RNA (tRNA) molecules are approximately 80 nucleotides in length. Their secondary structure includes four short double-helical elements and three loops (D, anti-codon, and T loops). Further hydrogen bonds mediate the characteristic L-shaped molecular structure. tRNAs have two regions of fundamental functional importance: the anti-codon, which is responsible for specific mRNA codon recognition, and the 3' end, to which the tRNAs corresponding amino acid is attached (by aminoacyl-tRNA synthetases). tRNAs cope with the degeneracy of the genetic code in two manners: having more than one tRNA (with a specific anti-codon) for a particular amino acid; and 'wobble' base-pairing, i.e. permitting non-standard base-pairing at the 3rd anti-codon position. The record is from Rfam by way of RNAcentral. Lineage: Eukaryota; Metazoa; Arthropoda; Branchiopoda; Diplostraca; Daphniidae.
GAUAGUGUGGCCGAGUGGUCUAUGGGGCUGGUUUUAGGCACCAGUCUCUUCGGAGGCAAGGGUUCGAAUCCCUUCACUGUCA